AGACAAGUUGCAGUUGGACACGCUUGACAGUUCGACACAUUUGACAGUUAAAGUGAAGGGGUUUGCUUGCAAUUUUUGAUGAACUGAUUCCCCUCCUACACAUCUAUGUUUAAAAAAUAUAUGAAGUACAUUUCUACAGUUUAAAAUACUAACAAAAGGGAAAGUGCAGCACUGAAAUGAAAACACUGGCUACCAGCUGUAACAACAUAGAUAUAAUGGUCAUUCAGGAUGUAGAAAACCCAAUGUAAUCGCAAUUAAGGCUUUGGAGUACUAUUUAUGAUGGCCGAUCAGAUUUUAAGGGGGUUCCAUGCCACCCAUUAUUUCCCAGCUCCCAAUGACAAGCUCACCCCGUUUUUCAAGCAGCCACCAUCUGGAACGAAACCUUAUCACUGCAUUUCGAAAUAUUCCUCUAAUUUUCUCUCAAUGGCGUUAUUUCUCUCCGCCAGCCGCUGCGUUCCCUGCGACUGCAGCUUGAAAGAUCUUUUUUUAACUAAACUAUUCCUCUUGGGGCCCCAGAGGAAGCAACGGCAUUAGUUCAGCGAGCGUGCCUUUAAAAAAAAAAAAAAUGUAAUAUUUGUACAAAUACAGUGUCUGUAUACCAAUGAGGUCCCACUGGCUGUUUUGGGGGAAUUUGACGGAGAAUAAAGAAGAAUAGCACAUAAUCCCUCAUGUAUCAAGGGACCAAAAACAAAGACGGCAUCUUUCAAAGUAUGAGUACAAGAAAAUAUGCUGGGAAGAAUUUCGAAAAGCUGGCAUCUAGACAUUUGUUUUAAAUAUUUUUAGCACAUUUGACACCCAGAAAGAAAAAUUCAUCAUCACCUUAUCCUUUGGACAACAUUUCACAACAGUUAAGCAGAAAUGGGAUGGCAAACUAUUAUUUUUCCUUUCUUUUUUUGUUUUUUGUAACUAUAAAAGGAAGCCCUGAGGCAAAAUUAUGUAUAAAAUCACAAAAAGGAAGCCUUCAUCAGUGAAUCCUUAAACACAACUGGAAUAGAUGUUGUGAAUGUGCUUUCUAGAAGUGGUUCUCGGUGUCACACAGCUGGUCUCUGCACUGACCACAGUCACUCCCCUGUUCUACUUUUACACCCCAGCCAGGAUGAGUCCCAUGCAGCUCCAUACCGUAAUUUUUCAUGCAUAGCUGUUGGACUUUAUCUGUGCUCUGUUUUCACUCCCAGGAGGAGGUAUGCAAAAGAGUUGCUCUUAUUUUUGGGUGUGUUAAAAAGCUGGAUGACAGAAUGCGAGUCUGGAGAGUUAGAGAAGGAGGGAAAAAAAGAGCAAAACGAGGUAAAAGCGAAAACGGUCUUUAAAGUAAACGGUAAACUGCUGCUUGCAUUUUGUACCUGAAGUCAACAAGGGAUAGACUGAGCUGCCUCUGCUUUACAUUUUAUCAGUUAAAACAGAGAUAUUGAUCGCAGAAAUGUCAGGGUCAGUCACGAUGAAUGAAUAACGCUAGAAAGCAGAGAUUGGAAAAACUUUUCAAACAAUGCUACUGUUGUCUUUUAUGUGUGAAUCAACUGCAUACCUUCUCUUCAUCAAGCAAACCGUACAUUCACAGAACUAGAUCUUUUAUGUCCUUGCAUGUUUACUGUAUUUCUGAUUUCAGAACCAAUAAUUCAUUCACACAUUAAUUCUCACAGUCAAGCACAGAAAUGUUCUGAGACUUGGAUUGAUUCUUUCAGUCCCCAUGACUGAAAAUCAAGAGUUACAGUAGAUGGGUGGGAAUGAAUGAUGCAGCACAGUAUUGGGACACCAAAUUGUGUUUGUAACAAUGCAACAUAAGGGUACAAUAUUAAGGUAAGAUUGUGAGUGUGAAAAAUAGGGCUUUGGAACAAUUCAAAAUAUUGAUCAAAUGCUGAAUUCCAGUAUAGCAUGUUUGAAAUUUCACGACAACCAUUGACUUUGGCUGUUGUUGAAACUUAAAAAAAGUGCAGAUACCAAAAGACAAAACAUACGGGUCAGUCGUCACCGUAGUAAGACUCGCUAACCCUAACUCUAUGAAAUACGCUAAAAUCCUUCACCUGUAAUCACAAAUAAGUAAGACUUAAACUUACACAAACUGAAUGGUCCAAUAAUUGGACUUCAUAGCCUAAUUAUAAGAUAUUUUAUACUUUUAACUAAGCUUUGUAGUUAACUUCUUUAUUUUAGUUUCACCCUCAGAUCUACUGCACUUUGCUCACUCCUUUAUAAAGCUCCCUGGUUCUUGUGAUGCUGCUGUCUGCUGUCGCUGGCACAAUUUGUAAGUCCUUUGGUGAAUUUCAAUGUCAUUUGACGCAUGUAACUUUUGACUUAAGAACUAAGCUGUCUGGGGGUUUUAAAAGUAAAAAGUACUAUUCAAAAAUGCUGAGUUGAAAGCACCAAAACAGAAAAAGGAUUUUUUUAAACAAUCCUUUCAGACUUUGAUGGCGUAGCAAUUAACAAAUCAACUCGACACCCUGCUCCCGAGUCAAAGCAAAUAUGAGAACCAAAAUUGUAUCAGGCAUGAACAAGACAAACAGAAAAAUAAAACAGCCCUUUACUUUUCACCUGGAAACAUGCUGAGAUCAGGUAAACACGCCAACCAUGAGCAGAAACUCAUCAUGGCAAGCGUGGGACCCUUUUCGCUCCACACAUCACUGUCAGGCUGCCCCUGAGCUGAGCCCACCCUGAGGUCACAGUGGUCGUCAGUCUUAGCUUCCCUCCCCAUGGCUUCUCUGUGGUGACGACCUUUGACUUCAAAGUCACUCCACAUCUUCUGGCGUGGGCUGAAAACUCAUAUUUUAAAAAGAAAAUACAUCCUUUUAUUUUCAUCGUCUGAAUCACUCAAAUCUCAGCCAAAACAAGAUCUUUUUUAUAUGUCUCUUUAAAAUUUGUCUGAAAGAGGUAGUUUUCAUUUAUCAAUUUUAUUUUUUGAAUGGGGUGGUGUGCUACUCCAGCUUCUGCAGCCUUUUACUUAAGAGUCAAGCUGACCGGGACCACACUUUCUAUUGAGGGGUUCUUCAUACAGCCCCGCCUUAAACAAAACCUAUCCAAACCUUCAAAGUGAGAAAAUUCAGUUUCACGAAACAUCUAAAUUGAAAAAAAACAGAACCUCUCCUAAUUGCUAGCAAUGAAUUUAUCAUCCCUGGAGCAAAAUCAUCUCUCUCUGUCUUUAGGAAAUGUUAGGAGUUCAACAUACAAGGAUCUUACAAGCCUGGCAAGAACGUCAAUUGUAAAAAAAUAAAUAAAAUACAAGGGGUCAUGUAAAUGCUAUUUUGGGGUUACAAUUUCUCUAGAUAGACGGUUCACAAACCUAUUAAAAAGAAACCCAAGUUUGAUUGAACAAAAGGAAACAAAUUGGACAUUUUGUCCAGGGACCCCAGCCUCAAACCGAAUUAUGAGUCUCAUCAUGUAGUGACCCAACAGAUAUGGGUUUGCAAAGGUCCAGCCCAAUGAGCAUCACAUUUUCAAUUUCAUGGUGUUGUUUAACAAAGGGCAUAUCAACAUGAAGGCUCCAAGCUGCUCAUGUAUAACAUCCCUCUGAUUGUUCAACAAAAGACAUUUUAGAUAUAAAAUGGAGUUUGAGCAGUCACAGUUUCAUAAUAUUUGUUGGAUUUCAGGCUGAUCAAAGAUGAUUUUUUUUCUGGGGGGUGUAGUGAAAGAAACACACAAGCCAAAGAGAGCUUAUGCUUGUUGAGGUUCCAGCACCAAAUAUGUGCUGAAGGGAGAUAAAAAUAUUGACACGGAGAGGAAGAAGUAUUUCUAUAUACAAGAUCAUUAAUGACAGGAGACUAGGGAGGAUGCCGUUUGAGGAAAAGUCAAAUAAACAAGUUCGUGAACAGCCUCUCUUUUCAAAGAACUAUAAAGUAAUUACUUAAAAAUAACUUAUAUCAGCAGCACUGGUUCAUAUGUGAUAUAAAAAGGAGUUUAAUAGGCUUCUGUCAACUCUAAUUGGCCCCAAUUUGAAUGUCUAUUAAGAAAUGGUGCAAAGUGAACAUGGUUGGAUAAGACUGUGCCUCUUUCACUGAAGAAAAACCAGGGAAAAAUCAAUAAGAGUCAGAUAUGGAGCUUUAUUUUUCAGCAGAAGUGCCAUGGCUAAAAUCAUUAAACUGGAUCUUUGAGAUGCCUGACAGUGCAGAGUAUUAGUGUAGUGUGCUGUGAAGCGGACAGUUCUGUGGUGCUGAAAAUGCUUACCAACGGAGGUGAACAGUUCAGCAGUUUUUCUGCCAUAGAGUUUAGCACGCACACAUUUUUAAGGUCAAAGAAACUGAGAAACAUAAACCACUAACAAGAGAUUCCUCCCAAAAAGACUUUGCCAUCACAUAGCUUGUCAGCCAUGGAUCACUGCUGGGACUAAACAUCAACUGAAAAAGUUUGACUUGUAUAAAAUGAAGUCCCAAACUGAUGCCAA
Molecule: non-coding RNA, 4366 nt
Organism: Xyrichtys novacula (pearly razorfish)
Lineage: Eukaryota; Metazoa; Chordata; Actinopteri; Labriformes; Labridae
Source: the annotation of a GenBank genome assembly